CAGUAAUUAACCUUGAGAGCUCGCUUUCUGAAGUGCUCUUCUCUGUAGGAAAAUCACCCACAGCUCCUACGACAGCCACUAUCUGCAAGUUAGACGUGGCUGAAGAGCACAGUGCUGUAACCACCAUUACAGAACAAGCAAUUCAAACACUCCGUAGCGGCUGAACACGAAGACGGCACUCCACUGGGGUGACCUUUGACUCUUGGCAGAGAGCGAUUUCACUGAGGGAAUUCACUCUGGUGGAUGAGUCUCUAGUGUUUGUCAAGAUCUUUGUGGAAACAAACACUCAGAGGAUCUUUGUGGAACAGUCCAGAAAUAAUUGAGUAAGCCAAGAGACCCCUAUCUCCCCUCUGCAAAAAAUGUCAGGUUAAACUUUCUUUUGAGGACUCCCUAAUUGAUGCUCUUGUAUAAAUAAUUGCUAUUUCCCAGCACUUUCUCUUUUCCCUUUUACUGAGAAAAAUACAAAAGAAAAGUCAACCGAAUCAAGA
RNAcentral lists this long non-coding RNA (488 nucleotides) under Equus asinus (donkey). Its description in RNAcentral is "lncRNA (ENSEASG00005030160.1)". Lineage: Eukaryota; Metazoa; Chordata; Mammalia; Perissodactyla; Equidae. The record is from RNAcentral.